Long non-coding RNA from Cydia splendana, 244 nucleotides. RefSeq lists it as uncharacterized. The transcript is spliced from 2 exons. Lineage: Eukaryota; Metazoa; Arthropoda; Insecta; Lepidoptera; Tortricidae. The record is from RefSeq and is a predicted model, not a curated record.
CUGUGCUGCACUUGGCUGUAUUAUCCUAACAUCAUUUACCACAAAAAACAACCAGGACCUAUCACGAUCUGUGUUCUUAUUAUGGCAUUAUGCCUGUACUGCUGGAGCGUUGUGCUUAGCUUCUUCUUGGAGGUCCUCGACAGGUCUUCUCCAAAACCAGAUCGAUCUGACGUAACAGCGGCAGUUGCCAAACCUCUGAUUCGGCAGGAGUCUACGUUGCAAAAUGUUAAAACGUGUUAAUGAU